UACAGAGGGGGCAAGCGUUGUUCGGAAUUACUGGGCGUAAAGGGCGCGUAGGCGGCCUGCUAAGUCGAACGUGAAAUCCCUGGGCUCAACCCAGGAACUGCGUCCGAUACUGGUUGGCUUGAAUCCGGGAGAGGGAUGCGGAAUUCCAGGUGUAGCGGUGAAAUGCGUAGAUAUCUGGAGGAACACCGGUGGCGAAGGCGGCAUCCUGGACCGGCAUUGACGCUGAACGGCGAAAGCUAGGGGAGCAAACGGG
This 253-nucleotide ribosomal RNA is filed under the name uncultured bacterium. Its description in RNAcentral is "partial 16S ribosomal RNA". It matches the Rfam family "Bacterial small subunit ribosomal RNA", at positions 524 to 776 of the family's 1533-position model. The record is from RNAcentral.